CCAGACUCCUACGGGAGGCAGCAGUGGGGAAUAUUGCACAAUGGGCGGAAGCCUGAUGCAGCAACGCCGCGUGCGGGAUGACGGCCUUCGGGUUGUAAACCGCUUUCGCCUGUGACGAAGCGUGAGUGACGGUAAUGGGUAAAGAAGCACCGGCUAACUACGUGCCAGCAGCCGCGGUGAUACGUAGGGUGCGAGCGUUGUCCGGAUUUAUUGGGCGUAAAGGGCUCGUAGGUGGUUGAUCGCGUCGGAAGUGUAAUCUUGGGGCUUAACCCUGAGCGUGCUUUCGAUACGGGUUGACUUGAGGAAGGUAGGGGAGAAUGGAAUUCCUGGUGGAGCGGUGGAAUGCGCAGAUAUCAGGAGGAACACCAGUGGCGAAGGCGGUUCUCUGGGCCUUUCCUGACGCUAAGGAGCGAAAGCGUGGGGAGCGAACAGGCUUAGAUACCCUGGUAGUCCACGCUGUAAACGGUGGGUACUAGGUGUGGGGUCCAUUCCACGGGUUCCGUGCCGUAGCUAACGCUUUAAGUACCCCGCCUGGGGAGUACGGCCGCAAGGCUAAAACUCAAAGGAAUUGACGGGGGCCCGCACAAG
This 588-nucleotide ribosomal RNA is filed under the name uncultured bacterium. Its description in RNAcentral is "bacterial SSU rRNA". It matches the Rfam family "Bacterial small subunit ribosomal RNA", at positions 331 to 929 of the family's 1533-position model. The record is from RNAcentral.